CUCUCUUUCAUUGUCAUAUAGUAUUGAUCCGCUAUAGUGCACAUUACACGACGUAGCACGGAGAGGCGGAGCGAGAAAGAGGGACUUGUCAACUUCGGAAAAUCUCUGUUCAAAACUGAACCGAAAAUGCAAGACGUGCUUUAAUUGUUUUCCUUCAAUUUCUUUCUGUAUCAUUUACUAUAAUGGAACUCAUGUUAUUUACACUGUGCUAGAUCAAUAC
RNAcentral lists this long non-coding RNA (220 nucleotides) under Paramuricea clavata. The record is from RNAcentral. Lineage: Eukaryota; Metazoa; Cnidaria; Anthozoa; Malacalcyonacea; Plexauridae.